CGAUUUGCCACAGAGUUGGCAGUGGGCUGACAUGAAAGCACUGCUCGUCGAGUUGGGCCUAGCAAUAUGGCAGCGCACGUUCGGUAAGGAAUCUCAUCAAGUGCUGCUACGAGGACCAUGUGCUCUCUGCCCCAUUGCCUCGAGUGCACUGCAGGGUGAAGGCUUUUGGAAAGCUGGGGAUUCUCAUUGCACGCCGGCUCCUACCUAAAAGCUUUCCUGGUUUUGCACAGAUGCCGAACUCUUGCACCUCCUGUUCUUGGUCUGAAUUUUGGGCUCUGAGAACUGUGGAAAAGCUGAAUGCUAUCAAGGAAGAAAUGCUGUCAGGUAGCAGUGAGUUGGAGCUGGGGGAAUUUUCUGGAUCGGUUCGUGAAGCGAAAGGAUUCUUUCUCUUUAAAAAUAGAAUGACAAUAGCACCCGGCCCUGUAAUGACUUCUCUGAAAGUUAAAACAACUCAGAGGCAGUUGCUCUGCUUCCACCGGGCUGCCAGCAUGGAAACGAGACCACUUCUUGCGGGAUGGGGGUAUGUGUUUAUUGCGCUGCUGUCUGCACACAAAAACUGCUCUUUCUUAACUCGCUGCACCGUUAGCGAUACGCCGCUGGUGUUGGCCAUGGCUCUUUCAGUGCUGUGUAACCACCAGCGAUUCUGCCCAGGGAAGUAGUUAGGAGAAAAAGGAAAAAAAAAACCCAAAAAACAACAAACCCGCUGAUCUCCUGCUUUCUUUUAUUUGUUUUAAAGUUGGUUUUGUUUCACCGAGGUUUUGAAGGAAACUGUAGCAACAGUGCUAAUGGUGUCGCAAA
Molecule: long non-coding RNA, 798 nt
Organism: Lagopus leucura (white-tailed ptarmigan)
Lineage: Eukaryota; Metazoa; Chordata; Aves; Galliformes; Phasianidae
Exons: 4
Source: RefSeq, a predicted model, not a curated record